RNAcentral lists this non-coding RNA (95 nucleotides) under pig gut metagenome. RNAcentral's name for it is "THF riboswitch". It matches the Rfam family "THF (Tetrahydrofolate) riboswitch aptamer". From Rfam's summary of the family: THF riboswitch presents a pseudoknot that joins P1-P2 and the loop of P3 and two THF binding. The record is from RNAcentral.
CAAAAUAGGACUCUGUGCGUCAAGUGUUCAGUGGAUGGGGAGUUGUCGCCGAAACGAAAAGCCUUUGGUUUACGAUACAGGGUUCGCACCCGUUG